This 680-nucleotide ribosomal RNA is filed under the name Bacillus tequilensis. RNAcentral describes it as "bacterial SSU rRNA". It matches the Rfam family "Bacterial small subunit ribosomal RNA", at positions 67 to 729 of the family's 1533-position model. The record is from RNAcentral. Lineage: Bacteria; Bacillati; Bacillota; Bacilli; Caryophanales; Bacillaceae.
CGGACAGAUGGGAGCUUGCUCCCUGAUGUUAGCGGCGGACGGGUGAGUAACACGUGGGUAACCUGCCUGUAAGACUGGGAUAACUCCGGGAAACCGGGGCUAAUACCGGAUGGUUGUUUGAACCGCAUGGUUCAAACAUAAAAGGUGGCUUCGGCUACCACUUACAGAUGGACCCGCGGCGCAUUAGCUAGUUGGUGAGGUAACGGCUCACCAAGGCAACGAUGCGUAGCCGACCUGAGAGGGUGAUCGGCCACACUGGGACUGAGACACGGCCCAGACUCCUACGGGAGGCAGCAGUAGGGAAUCUUCCGCAAUGGACGAAAGUCUGACGGAGCAACGCCGCGUGAGUGAUGAAGGUUUUCGGAUCGUAAAGCUCUGUUGUUAGGGAAGAACAAGUACCGUUCGAAUAGGGCGGUACCUUGACGGUACCUAACCAGAAAGCCACGGCUAACUACGUGCCAGCAGCCGCGGUAAUACGUAGGUGGCAAGCGUUGUCCGGAAUUAUUGGGCGUAAAGGGCUCGCAGGCGGUUUCUUAAGUCUGAUGUGAAAGCCCCCGGCUCAACCGGGGAGGGUCAUUGGAAACUGGGGAACUUGAGUGCAGAAGAGGAGAGUGGAAUUCCACGUGUAGCGGUGAAAUGCGUAGAGAUGUGGAGGAACACCAGUGGCGAAGGCGACUCUC